CCUACGGGUGGCAGCAGUGAGGAAUAUUGGUCAAUGGCCGAGAGGCUGAACCAGCCAAGUCGCGUGAGGGAAGACGGCCCUACGGGUUGUAAACCUCUUUUGUCGGGGAGCAAAGCGAACCACGUGUGGUUCAUUGAGAGUACCCGAAGAAAAAGCAUCGGCAAACUCAGUGCCAGCAGCCAGGGUAAGACGGGGGAUGCGAGCGUUAUCCGGAUUUAUUUGGUUAAAAGGGUGCGCAGGCGGAGGGGCAAGUCAGCGGUAAAAUUGCGGGGCUCAACCCCGUACUGCCGUUGAAACUGCAUCCCUUGAGUGCGCGAGAAGUAUGCGGAAUGCGAGGUGUAGGGGUGAAAUGCAUAGAUAUCACGCAGAACUCCGAUUGCGAAGGCAGCAUACCGGCGCGCAACUGACGCUCAUGCACGAAAGCGUGGGUAUCGAACAGGAUUAGAUACCCUUGUAGUC
This 459-nucleotide ribosomal RNA is filed under the name uncultured bacterium. RNAcentral's name for it is "partial 16S ribosomal RNA". It matches the Rfam family "Bacterial small subunit ribosomal RNA", at positions 338 to 795 of the family's 1533-position model. The record is from RNAcentral.